UCCUAGGAAAACAAACUAUUUAAUGCAAACAAUCCAAAAAGAAAUCUCUAAAUAGUCCCAAUAUUCAAAUUUCUCUCCUAACUCCCUCAAAAAUCCUUCCUAAAUAGCUCAAUUGGCCUGGGCAGUGCGAUCGACACAUACGGGAGGUGGAGAAGUUCCGCCUUUGUUAGCGUGAGACCGGCUGGACCUGUCUAACAAUACUCCCCUCCCAAAGACCCACCUCGUCCGCAAGGUAGAAAGACAACUCCCUAUCAUAAUUUUUUAAAUAAACACGGGUGUCCGCGUGUCCUACACCCAUAUCAUAAUUUUUUAUAAUUAAAUUUUAUUUAAAUUACAAAAUUUUGACUUUUUAUAUUAUUUUAAUCAAAUAAAUUGUGUUAAGGGGAUAUUCGAACCGUAUAUGCAUCAAUACAUGCUCGACUGCCGUAUGCCUUAGGUUUUCGUCGCUCUCCCUGGUCUUUUGCCUCAUCUUCUUUGUUUGUGCGACCAGGCGAGCCGAAUGAGCUGAGGGAGCGCACAACUGAAGCCCGAAACCUCCUUGUCUUCUUGUCUUCUUCUAGUCUUCAUAAUUUAUGCGAUGAGGCGAGCCGAACCGAGCAGGCUACUGUGCUAUUUUAAGCCCAUCAUCGAGGGCAUCAAAGGUUACGACUCUUGUGUUUGCUCUGUCAAAGCCAGAGGAGGGAGAGUGAAGCAGAUAAGUUCGAUUAGAGUAUAGAUUGUUAGUAUUUUUUAUUUCCGCAAGCAAGUGAGCAAAUUAUACUUACCAAUUUAUUUAUUGUUUAUGGUUUUUUUUCCCCUUGUAUUCCCGCUAACCUUUACUUAGUAAGGAAGGUUAGAGAAUAAAAAAAUAUUAGAUACAGAAUGUCGGUCAUACUCGACAUUUUGUACUAAACAUUUUAUAUUGUAAACUAGAAAAGUUAUUAUGACGUUGAUUUUGUAUUGUUUGUCAUUUCUAAUAUGAUGUUACAUUAAUUUCUAAUUUUUUAUACACUAUUUAAAAAACAUUUGUAAUGUCGUGUACGCGCUGUACUUGUUCCAAGUCAUGUCACUGUGUCCGUGCAUCUUAGGGAAUAACUCUCUAAAUCAAAAACCAUAAAUGAAAAUUUGCUGUUGUUGAAUUACCACAUAAAUUUUCAGCAUUAUUUUAAACUUGUUGCAUUUAGUUAUGCAGUGAUAACCACUAGCUAGACGCACUUGCAGCACAGAAGUAAACAAAGAUUUAUAAAAGCCACGUAUUUCUCUCUUAGCAAACAAAACAAAGCAUGAAUGCUAAGAUCUUGAAUAUCCAAACAUCAGGUGUUAUGUUUUGUGUGAAGGUAUAUGCAUACCUUAAGUGGCAAAUUGACAUGUGUUUUAUAGAAUUGAUUCUUGAAUUUGCUAUACAAAAGGCAUCAAUGCCAUUUUUUUCAUCACCUUUGCGGAAGAUUAUCACUACAGCUAAAAUAACCAUAUCAACACUCACCAGAGCUGAUAAAAGCGUCUCACUAUUUUUUCUUUUCUGUUUUCUCAAAAUCAAGUAUUUCAAAGCAAAUCUUAAAAUAAUGCGCGAAAAGUGUUACAGCAGCAGUCAAAAUUUUGUGUCAAAUGAAGCUAAAACCUUGAACAAAGUCAAGAGCAUGCCCAAGCCAGGACAAACGAUGAUAAGAAUUGUUUCCUUCUUGUCCAGAAGAGUUGUUAUUUAUGAACUAGAGAAUUAGAUUAAGUGGGUUAAUUAGAGUUUGUGCUUCCAUGGCAUGUAUAAUAUGCUCCAAACUGACACACCAAAUGAUAAAUGCAUGAUGAAGGGUACGGCUGACUGGGAAGGCCUAUUUGCUACUUGAAAAUUUUAUAGAAUCUUCUCCUACGACCACCAUGCUCCUUUUGAUAACUUCCUGCUGGUUUCAAAAUGAUCCUUGCAGAACAAGGCAAGGUCGAAGUAUGAAAUUGAUGAAUUGUGCUAUGGAUUUGCUUUCUCUUUCCAGAUUUCGAAGGGAAAUACAACCACCGUUUCUUUGCUUUAUCUUAACCGCAAGGAUCAUGACUUUAUCCCGAUUGGCCAAGAUCCCUCUGGUGGUCUCUCGACCACCAACUACAUUGAUCUUUCUCCAUACUCUAGCAGAAGUUACCCCAUGCGCUCAUGGGGAGCACUCUAAUAUAUCACUUUGUAGGGCCAGCUAGACCUGCCCAAUAGCACAAUAUAAUAUAUCACCUAGUAGGGCCAGCUAGACCUGCCCAAUAGCACUUAUCAUUGUACUGCGUGGAUUUUGAUGUUUAGAUGGACCAAAUUGUAGCUAUAUGCUCCAUAGGUUGUUUAUAUAUUUCAUUUACUAUUUUGCUGAGACAGCUGUGAUAGUUUGAGUAGACCUCCAUCAAUCAAAGCCUUCCUUGCCCCUCUAGAUCAUUGAAGUUUUACUUUCUACUUUCAAAGCCCUCUGAUUUGAGGAAUCCACAAUCCUAUUCCACUGUACAGUGCAUGCUUUUGUCGACUCUUCUUAGGCAGCUAUAACCUAAAAUUUAGAUAAUUAUGCCAGAUUAGUUGGCUUCAAAAUUUUCUAAUGUAAAAUAGUUAUUUAAACUUUUUAAAUUUACCCUGAAAUAAUUUCACUGUUACUUACCUGUCUGCCUAUAAUAUCCCAUUAUUAUAUCACUUGAGCUAUACAAUGUCAUGAAAGCCUUAUAGUUUCCUGGUUUCUCUGUUGCGUGUUCUUAUGGUCAUAAUUGAUUCAUUCAUAAGCAUCCCAUGUAUGCUAUCAAUCUUGUGUUGAUUUGUGUUUACCUCUGUGCCAAAGUUAUAUUACUCAACAAUAUGCCAAAGCGUGGCCGCUAUGAUUUUUCCCACCUGAAAUCAUAGAGAAUCUACCAUUAAAUGACGGCAUCUGUAUGAAAUGAAUACCGAUAUCAAUAUCAGGUCUAAUUAUGUACACUACUGUUCAUGAUGUAGAACGGAAAAAAGGAGGCGUUGCAAAGGAGGGGAUUCUUCUUAAUGGAAUCUGAAAUAUUUCAGAUUUUCUGCUUUCAGAAAUCUGAAAGGAAUCCCAACUCUAUGUGUGGGGAGGAAGGACUUGCAGCAAGAGCUAUGGAGUUCCAGCAAAGGGAAGUAAAGGAGGAGGGGAGUUAUGAGAGGGAGGGGAGAGACGGGUCACAGGAAAAAGAGGGAAUUUUAUUUCCAAAACAUGAUUUCUGAUUUUAGGAAAUAAGAGUAAAGCUUUGGAGUGAAGGAAAUUUCUUGCUAAAGCAUUUAGGAGGAGAGGGAAACGGCGGGACCACAGGGAAAAUUAAAUGGAAAUUAAAUUGGGAAAUCCACUUGCAUUAUCCCGUGACAGGUUUGACAUUGGUGGGUUACGGGAAUAGAAUUAAGUGGGAAAAUUUUAUUUCCAAAUUCCAAUUCUGGUUUUAGGAAGUAGAAUAGGUAAUGAUUAAUUAAUGUCUUAAAUCUGAAUUUAAAUUCAAAUUUGAGAAUUAAUGACGAUUGGCUUAAAUGGUGGGAGAGAUUAAUGGGGUGAAUAAUCCUAAUUCGAAUUCAAAUUUUCGAAUUCAAAUUUGCAUUAAUGAAGAACUCUUCCCUAAAUUGAUUACAAGGGAAGGAUUAAGGGAGGCCGGCGGGAUUUUUUUGAAUUCAAAAUUCUGAGAUUUUAUUUCAGAAUUAAUGACAUCAUUAAAUGCCUAAUUAUUAAGAAUGAAUUAAGCAAUAAAUAAAUUUGAAUUCAAAUUUGAAUUUUGAAUUCAAAUCCUUUGUUAACUUAAUCCCUCCAAUUUAGGAAAGGCAAUUAAUAAUUGGAGCAAAGGUGGGGGUUCUCGGUUGGGGUGAUGGAGGGGUUGUUAAAACUGGCGGUUCGAUGGGAAGGAGGAAGGGACCGGUGGCGGUGGAAGGAGGAGAUGGGGAUGUCGACAAGGAGAAAAUGAAAAGAUAACGAAAAGAAUAAAACCACGAACCCGGCCGUCUCCAAGGUUGGUGGGUGAUACGAUUUCCCUUCUCCAAGGGACUCAAAUCACGAGCCCGGACCCAUCCUGCGGCUGGUGACAACUUAGAUUCCUCUCAUAGGAAUCUCACUAACGCUCUCUCACAAGAAGAACAUAAGUGUGGGAAACAAAAUUUUUCAUAUUAAUCAACCAUCCUCAUUACAAUAGCUUAAUGCCCUUAUUUAUAGGCCCCAAUAUGAGAAAAAUCGAAAUUACAAAAUUGCCCCUUGGGCCAUAACACUCAAACAAACUAUCCUAGGGGUAAAACA
Molecule: long non-coding RNA, 4208 nt
Organism: Dendrobium catenatum
Lineage: Eukaryota; Viridiplantae; Streptophyta; Magnoliopsida; Asparagales; Orchidaceae
Exons: 2
Source: RefSeq, a predicted model, not a curated record